CUUGUGGUUCCCUGAGGAACUGUGUCUCUCAUAUAUAAACCAGCUUUUUGGCUCAGACCUUUUCCUCUGAAGACACCUGCUUCCUGUGCAAAAUACUGAGGGCCCAGCCUAGGUGUUGAGGUUGUUGGCUUUGCUGCUCCAUCAGACUUCGGGGAGCUGCUUGUACAGUGAAGUAUUCAGUUGUGCCUGCAGUCUCCAGAGGAACACACAGCUAAGGAAGAGGAAGACCUGUGAGGAUGACAAGCUGAGGGAUGUCCAAGUGUUCAGGAAAAGAGAAUGUGGGCCUGGACCAUCCUUAUGGCCUCCGCAUAGAGAGUGCCACCUGGGAGGGCUUGCGGAGGAGGAUCCUGAUCAUGGUGUGAAGAGCAGAAGGUGGCUGCUGUCAGAUACGGGAGCAGUGCCUAAGGAAAGGGCCCAAGGGGUGUUUUACGAGAGGGUGCAAAGAGGAGCAGGGCUCCUGCCAGAGAGCACUUUGGGGAUGAAGGAGACACCAGAGACAAGGCUCAAUCUGAGGCUACUCAGGUACUGAAGAGCAGGUACCUUUAGCCCUCACAAAGGAUAUUUUCCUGAGCUGCCAUGACUUCUGGUUGCCUGCUGUGAGAAACUGGUACCAGCCAGCUCACUUAAGCUGAUGAAAAAGUCUGAGUUAGAGGAACCUGUUGACCUCUCAGAAGCAACCAGUACCUCCCAAACUCUAAUCAGCUGGUUCCAGGUGGAACAGGUUCACACAUUGGAGCAAGUUUUUUUUGAGAAGGUGGUUGUACUAAAACUACAUACAUACCCUGCUUGCUACUCUGUAAAACUGCCCUGAAUAUAUCAGUGUUUAAAGCAGAUACCUACUGAGUAAAUAUAGCCUGCCUGUGUAGAGAAAAAGUUAUUCAGACUUUUUACGGGAAGUAUGUUAUUCUUGUCAAGAAGUUAUGAAAUAAGAUGGAAAAGAUUUACUAAGUACCUGGAGGGAAAGUCACAAAUAUCCUGAAGGCCAAAUACUGCCUGAAGAUCAAGUUGUUAGUUUGAACUGAGCUUCUCAACUUAGUUUUCAUUCUCUAUGUCAUAUUUUUUGCUGUGUGUUUGGUUGACUCCAAGUCCAGUGUGCUGGUAAUGCCAUGUGCUCCAGUAGAGACAUAUGAAUUUGGAGUUGUGGUAUAAAAUCAUAGACUGUCCCAGGUUGGAGAGGUCACGCAAGGAUCAUCAAGUUCAACUCCUGGGUCUGCGUAGGACCACCCCAAAAUCAGAUCAUAUAUCUGAGAGCAUUGUCCAGAUGCUUCUUAAACUCUGGCAGCUCAGUGCCAUGACCACUUCCCUGGUAUCGAACCUGACUCUUCCCUGUAAAAGCUUCAUGCCAUUCCCUUGGCCAUAACCAUAUCAGCCCACCAAUCAGCUAGCUGUUUUAGCCCCAUUUUCACAGUGAUGUUUGAAUACCAAGGCCUAUACCACUGAUGCAGACAAGUUAAUUACCUGUAUCUUGUAAUAGUCUAUUGAUGUUUAACAGAUAAAGUGUCCCUUGUGCUGAAGAUGGAGCUUGCAGCUAUUUUGUUUUUAUUUCAUUACAAUUGAUAUGCAAGGAAAGAAAAGAAAUAUAAGCUAACUGUAGGCCAGUACUCUUGAUGCAUGCCCGGGUAGUUCACUGACCCACAACUAUGCUGGCAGAAGGAGAAGGUCAGAUCUGAUGCUGUAAGGGUUAAACAGUAAGGUUUGCUAAGUCAGACUUACAGAUGAGUUCAGAUGCAGUGGUUAGCAAUAAUGAAAAAAUGGGCUUGAUUGGCAAUCUCUCUAAUGCUUCUGGAUUAAUUGAACACACCCUUGUGUCAGCACAAGGAUUGAUGGGUAUAGGAUAGAAAUACACGGUCAUGUGAUUUUCCGUAGUUCAUGAUCAGAGGCCAGUUGUGGGGAAGAGUAUAUAAUACUAGUGAAACUGUCUUCCUUGAACUUGUAUUGGAAUAAGUUUUGUGUGUAACAGGCCAUACUGAGUCAUCUACAAAUAAUAUGAAAAUGCUUGCUAAGGGUUUUACUCAAUCUUUAGAAGUAAUUCAUACUCUGUAGUCCAAAAAUGUAAGAAGCUACAAGAACAUUUAAUUUUCCUAAGAAUGUCUUUCCUGAUAUAAUAUAAAAGUUUUCAUGU
Long non-coding RNA from Gallus gallus (chicken), 2122 nucleotides. The record is from Ensembl. NCBI's taxonomy places the organism in Eukaryota, Metazoa, Chordata, Aves, Galliformes, Phasianidae.